This 252-nucleotide ribosomal RNA is filed under the name uncultured bacterium. Its description in RNAcentral is "partial 16S ribosomal RNA". It matches the Rfam family "Bacterial small subunit ribosomal RNA", at positions 524 to 776 of the family's 1533-position model. The record is from RNAcentral.
UACGGAGGAUGCGAGCGUUAUCCGGAUUUAUUGGGUUUAAAGGGUGCGUAGGCGGAUCGUUAAGUCAGUGGUCAAAUUGAGGGGCUCAACCGCUUCCCGCCAUUGAAACUGGCGAUCUUGAGUGGAAGAGAAGUAUGCGGAAUGCGUGGUGUAGCGGUGAAAUGCAUAGAUAUCACGCAGAACCCCGAUUGCGAAGGCAGCAUGCCGGCUUCCGACUGACGCUGAAGCACGAAAGCGUGGGGAUCGAACAGG